Molecule: ribosomal RNA, 587 nt
Filed under: Leptonia sabulosa
Lineage: Eukaryota; Fungi; Basidiomycota; Agaricomycetes; Agaricales; Entolomataceae
Description: partial large subunit ribosomal RNA
Rfam family: Eukaryotic large subunit ribosomal RNA
Source: RNAcentral
CCCUAGUAACUGCGAGUGAAGCGGGAAAAGCUCAAAUUUAAAAUCUGGUAGUCUUUGGCUGCCCGAGUUGUAAUCUAGAGAAGCGUUAUCCGCGCUGGACCGUGUAUAAGUCUCCUGGAAUGGAGCGUCAUAGAGGGUGAGAAUCCCGUCUUUGACACGGACUCCCAGGGCUUUGUGAUGCGCUCUCAAAGAGUCGAGUUGUUUGGGAAUGCAGCUCUAAAUGGGUGGUAAAUUCCAUCUAAAGCUAAAUAUUGGCGAGAGACCGAUAGCGAACAAGUACCGUGAGGGAAAGAUGAAAAGAACUUUGGAAAGAGAGUUAAACAGUACGUGAAAUUGUUGAAAGGGAAACGCUUGAAGUCAGUCGCGUUGGCCAGGGAUCAACCUUGCUUUUGCUUGGUGUACUUCCUGGUUAAUGGGUCAGCAUCAAUUUUGACCAGUGGAAAAAGGUCAGGGGAAUGUGGCAUCUUCGGAUGUGUUAUAGCCUCUGAUUGUAUACAUUGGUUGGGAUUGAGGAACUCAGCACGCCGCAAGGCCGGGUUUUACCACGUUCGUGCUUAGGAAGCUGGCAUAAUGGCUUUAAUCGACCC